Molecule: long non-coding RNA, 517 nt
Organism: Nicotiana tabacum (common tobacco)
Lineage: Eukaryota; Viridiplantae; Streptophyta; Magnoliopsida; Solanales; Solanaceae
Source: RefSeq, a predicted model, not a curated record
UAUUCCUAAAAAUCCCAAAAUGCAACCAUCGUCUCCCCCCUACGAUUUCGCCAGCAACUCGCCAACACCUUCCCCCAAUUCUUUGAUUUGUUUCCUUUUUUUAAAAUAUUGUUUUUAACUUUCUUUUCUCAAUUCUUUUCCUCUUCAAAAUCUAUAAAGAAAUUGCGAUUGGGAGCCAAGAUUUUUGCCCCAAUUUUAGUCUAAAUUGCUGUCAUGAUUGAAGAUUUGCAUGCUCUUCUUUCCAUUUCGACAUCCGUAGGUUCAAAUCAAUUAGAUGAAUAUGGAUAGUUUUCGAGAUCAACUCUUGGGUCAAGUUGGAGUUGCCUGGGAAGGGAAAGAUUUACGGGUUGAUGUUUCAAAGUUUACUUAGAGAAUAAGGUUCAUGUUUAACACCUAGACACCAUGAUUAUAGGAUUUGAUUCACCUCUACAAGUCUAUAUUAAUGUUGAUAACUCUGGAAUCCAUGCUUCUGUUUGUUUAUUUUGAAUGGUUAAUAUAUAUAGCUAUCAGUUAGAUA